UCGGGAAUUUUGGGCAAUGGGCGAAAGCCUGACCCAGCAACGCCGCGUGAAGGAUGAAGUAUUUCGGUAUGUAAACUUCGAAAGAAUAGGAAGAAUAAAUGACGGUACUAUUUAUAAGGUCCGGCUAACUACGUGCCAGCAGCCGCGGUAAUACGUAGGGACCAAGCGUUGUUCGGAUUUACUGGGCGUAAAGGGCGCGUAGGCGGCAAUUCAAGUCAUCUGUGAAAUCUCCGGGCUUAACUCGGAACGGUCAGAUGAUACUGCUUUGCUAGAGUGCAGAAGGGGCAAUCGGAAUUCUUGGUGUAGCGGUGAAAUGCGUAGAUAUCAAGAGGAACACCUGAGGUGAAGACGGGUUGCUGGGCUGACACUGACGCUGAGGCGCGAAAGCCAGGGGAGCAAACGGGAUUAGAUACCCGUGUAGUCCCUG
This 427-nucleotide ribosomal RNA is filed under the name uncultured bacterium. RNAcentral's name for it is "bacterial SSU rRNA". It matches the Rfam family "Bacterial small subunit ribosomal RNA", at positions 355 to 799 of the family's 1533-position model. The record is from RNAcentral.